CAGUCGCCGCGGUAAUACGGAGGGUGCAAGCGUUAAUCGGAAUUACUGGGCGUAAAGCGCACGCAGGCGGUCUGACAAGUCAGAUGUGAAAUCCCCGGGCUUAACCUGGGAACUGCAUUUGAAACUGUCAGGCUGGAGUCUUGUAGAGGGGGGUGGAAUUCCAGGUGUAGCGGUGAAAUGCGUAGAGAUCUGGAGGAAUACCGGUGGCGAAGGCGGCCCCCUGGACAAAGACUGACGCUCAGGUGCGAAAGCGUGGGGAGCAAACAGGAUUAGAUACCCGCGUAGUCCCUGUCUCUUAUAC
Molecule: ribosomal RNA, 301 nt
Filed under: uncultured bacterium
Lineage: Bacteria
Description: partial 16S ribosomal RNA
Rfam family: Bacterial small subunit ribosomal RNA
Source: RNAcentral